GCCUUGGUGGUGUAGUGGUUAGAGCACGCGUACCCGGAUAGGAUGAAACGUGGGUUCGAUUCCCGCCUGAGGCC
This is a non-coding RNA of Parelaphostrongylus tenuis, 74 nucleotides long. Lineage: Eukaryota; Metazoa; Nematoda; Chromadorea; Rhabditida; Metastrongylidae. The record is from the annotation of a GenBank genome assembly.